This 810-nucleotide long non-coding RNA is filed under the name Vitis vinifera (wine grape). Its description in RNAcentral is "long non-coding RNA (VVIN_LNC000024)". The record is from RNAcentral. Lineage: Eukaryota; Viridiplantae; Streptophyta; Magnoliopsida; Vitales; Vitaceae.
CCUCUGUUCAGAAAUGGUUCUUUCGAAAUGGAUUCACACCAGGACUCUGACAGAAUUUCAGAACUAGCUUCAAACAAUUCGAACGAGUUGCCCCCACUACCAGAGGGUUCUCCACCAUUGCCUAUUGAUUCUCCUCCUCCACCCCCACCUUUGCCUCCUUCACCGCCCCCACCACCACCUCCUCCAUUAUCUCCAUCACCUCCACCGCCUCCACCUCCUUUUCCGUCACAGCUGCCCCCACUUCCUCCACCACCUGCAGGGCCACCUCCACCUACAGGCCCUCCUCCACCUGCAGGGCCUCCUCCACCUACAGUCCAUCCACCACCUAUGGGGCCUCCACCAUCUACGGGUCCUCCACCACCUAUGGGGCCUCCACCAUCUACGGGUCCUCCACCACCUAUGGGGCCUCCACCUCCAAUGGGCCCUCCACCUAGGGGUCCUCCACCGCUUAUGGGUCCUCCACCACCGACGGGGCCUCCACCACCCACAGGCCCUCCACCACCAAGGGGUCCACCACCUAUUGGGCCUCCACCACCUGCAGGGCCCCCACUACCUCCAGGCCCUCCACCCCCUCCUGGUCCCCCACCCCCUGCAAGCCAGCACCUACCUACAGGUCCUCCACCAUCACUGCUUUCUCAACCACCACUACCUCCUACACCGCAACUGCCACCUCCACCACAGUUACCACCUCCACCGCAACUACAACCUCAACCGCAACUACCACCUCAACCUCCAUUACUGCCACCUCAACCAUCACUACAGUCUUCACCCCAGUUAGCAUAUCAACCACCUGUGCCUCAUGAAUAUUGC